CCUACGCGAGGCAGCAGUAGGGAAUUUUCGGCAAUGGGGGGAACCCUGACCGAGCAACGCCGCGUGAACGAAGAAGUUAUUCGUAAUGUAAAGUUCUUUUAACAGGGAAGAAAGAGAAAUUUGACGGUACCUGAAGAAUAAGCUUCGGCAAACUACGUGACAGCAGCCGCGGUAAUACGUAGGGAGCGGGCGUUAUCCGGAAUUAUUGGGCGAAAGGGGUGCGUAGAUGGCAUAGUAAGUCUUUUGUAAAAAUGCUGGGCUCAACCCAGUAGGGCAAAAGAUACUGCAAAGCUAGAGUAUGACAGAGGCAAGUGGAACUAGAUGUGUAGCGGUGAAAUGCGUAGAUAUAUGUAAGAACACCAGUGGCGAAGGCGGCUUGCUGGAGCGAUACUGACAUUGAGGCACGAAAGCGUGGGUAGCAAACAGGAUUAGAUACCCGGGUAGUC
Molecule: ribosomal RNA, 446 nt
Filed under: uncultured bacterium
Lineage: Bacteria
Description: partial 16S ribosomal RNA
Rfam family: Bacterial small subunit ribosomal RNA
Source: RNAcentral